GAACGAACGCUGGCGGCAUGCCUAACACAUGCAAGUCGAACGAGACCUUCGGGUCUAGUGGCGCACGGGUGCGUAACGCGUGGGAACCUGCCCUUAGGUUCGGAAUAACUCCCCGAAAGGGGUGCUAAUACCGGAUAAUGUCUUCGGACCAAAGAUUUAUCGCCUUUGGAUGGGCCCGCGUUGGAUUAGCUAGUUGGUAGGGUAAAAGCCUACCAAGGCGACGAUCCAUAGCUGGUCUGAGAGGAUGAUCAGCCACACUGGGACUGAGACACGGCCCAGACUCCUACGGGAGGCAGCAGUGGGGAAUAUUGGACAAUGGGCGAAAGCCUGAUCCAGCAAUGCCGCGUGAGUGAUGAAGGCCUUAGGGUUGUAAAGCUCUUUUACCCGGGAUGAUAAUGACAGUACCGGGAGAAUAAGCGCCGGCUAACUCCGUG
This 434-nucleotide ribosomal RNA is filed under the name uncultured bacterium. Its description in RNAcentral is "partial 16S ribosomal RNA". It matches the Rfam family "Bacterial small subunit ribosomal RNA", at positions 27 to 507 of the family's 1533-position model. The record is from RNAcentral.